Dermacentor andersoni is the source of this 338-nucleotide long non-coding RNA. RefSeq lists it as uncharacterized. NCBI's taxonomy places the organism in Eukaryota, Metazoa, Arthropoda, Arachnida, Ixodida, Ixodidae. The record is from RefSeq and is a predicted model, not a curated record.
CGCAAUAAUUUCGUUAAACAAUGUCUCGUUUGACUUUUAACCACGUACACAGAUGCCAUAAAUGCAUUGGGUUCACUUCGUUAUAAGUCGGUCAUGUCACGCGGAAGGACCAUCAUGAAAAUUUGCAGGUUUCAGGCAGACACAGUUGGGGGAUAUUAACGUCAUUUCGAAAUGUAAAUUCAAGAAUUCAUUUGCUUGGAAUUGAACAUGUUCGAUGAGGUUUGUACAAUACUGGUAAAUUGGCUAGACCUCGACAACCCAAAACGAUUUGAAAUUUUAUUUACCUGAAGGAAACUACUAAUUUUGCUCCUGCUAUGAGAAAUCCAAACACUGCAUUG